RNAcentral lists this ribosomal RNA (1388 nucleotides) under uncultured bacterium. RNAcentral describes it as "16S ribosomal RNA". It matches the Rfam family "Bacterial small subunit ribosomal RNA". The record is from RNAcentral.
AGAGUUUGAUCCUGGCUCAGGACGAGCUUUGGCGGCGUGCUUAACACAUGCAAGUCGAACGGUAAGGCCCUUCGGGGUACACGAGUGGCGAACGGGUGAGUAACACGUGGGUAAUCUGCCCUGCACAUCGGGAUAAGCCUGGGAAACUGGGUCUAAUACCGAAUAGGACCACAAAACACAUGUCCUGUGGUGGAAAGCUUUUGCGGUGUGGGAUGGGCCCGCGGCCUAUCAGCUUGUUGGUGGGGUGAUGGCCUACCAAGGCGACGACGGGUAGCCGGCCUGAGAGGGUGUCCGGCCACACUGGGACUGAGAUACGGCCCAGACUCCUACGGGAGGCAGCAGUGGGGAAUAUUGCACAAUGGGCGAAAGCCCGAUGCAGCGACGCCGCGUGGGGGAUGACGGCCUUCGGGUUGUAAACCUCUUCCACCAUCGACGAAGGUCCGGGUUUUCUCGGAUUGACGGUAGGUGGAGAAGAAGCACCGGCCAACUACGUGCCAGCAGCCGCGGUAAUACGUAGGGUGCGAGCGUUGUCCGGAAUUACUGGGCGUAAAGAGCUCGUAGGUGGUUUGUCGCGUUGUUCGCGAAAUCUCACGGCUUAACUGUGAGCGUGCGGGCGAUACGGGCAGACUUGAGUACUGCAGGGGAGACUGGAAUUCCUGGUGUAGCGGUGGAAUGCGCAGAUAUCAGGAGGAACACCGGUGGCGAAGGCGGGUCUCUGGGCAGUAACUGACGCUGAGGAGCGAAAGCGUGGGGAGCGAACAAAAUUAGAUACCCUGGUAGUCCACGCCGUAAACGGGGGGUACUAGGUGUGGGUUUCCUUCCUUGGGAUCCGUGCCGUAGCUAACGCAUUAAGUACCCCGCCUGGGGAGUACGGCCGCAAGGCUAAAACUCAAAGAAAUUGACGGGGGCCCGCACAAGCGGCGGAGCAUGUGGAUUAAUUCGAUGCAACGCGAAGAACCUUACCUGGGUUUGACAUGCACAGGACGCCGGCAGAGAUGUCGGUUCCCUUGUGGCCUGUGUGCAGGAGGUGCAUGGCUGUCGUCAGCUCGUGUCGUGAGAUGUUGGGUUAAGUCCCGCAACGAGCGCAACCCUUGUCUCAUGUUGCCAGCGGGUAAUGCCGGGGACUCGUGAGAGACUGCCGGGGUCAACUCGGAGGAAGGUGGGGAUGACGUCAAGUCAUCAUGCCCCUUACGUCCAGGGCUUCACACAUGCUACAAUGGCCGGUACAAAGGGCUGCGAUGCCGCGAGGUUAAGCGAAUCCUUUUAAAGCCGGUCUCAGUUCGAAUCGGGGUCUGCAACUCGACCCCGUGAAGUCGGAGUCGCUAGUAAUCGCAGAUCAGCGACGCUGCGGUGAAUACGUUCCCGGGCCUUGUACUCACCGCCCGUCA